Molecule: long non-coding RNA, 425 nt
Filed under: Homo sapiens (human)
Lineage: Eukaryota; Metazoa; Chordata; Mammalia; Primates; Hominidae
Description: non-protein coding lnc-RASSF6-3:1
Source: RNAcentral
UUUGUAGAAGGUAUACUUGGAUCUUUUUUAUAUCCUUAUUCAGAUAGAAUACCAGUAUAGCAGCUCCUAGGAUUUGUCACAAAUGGAAAAUGACAUGUCAUCUUCAUUUCAAAAUUACAGUUCUUAAAUCUGGGGAGGAAAGCCAACACCCUUUUGGACCAUGAAUACUGCCCAGAGUCCAUCAGCUACUCCGUUUGGAAUUUCAGCAGUUUCACAGACACAGACUCCUGCAGGCAAUGCUGCAGCAUCCUGAGUUGAUUCAUUCACUCAGUGAGCCAUAAAAUAUGAGACAAUUUCUCACACUUUGCUUCAUCAUUUGCUGUUUUUCAGGCCAAGAUGACAACGAGCCCAGCUGAAGCUGACAUCCCAGCAAAUUGCAUGACAAAUUGCAAAGACGACUAACCCACAACCUACUCUUCUGGAAA